AACGUACGCUGGCGGCACGCUUAACACAUGCAAGUCGAACGAAGUAGCAAUACUUAGUGGCAGACGGGUGAGUAACAUGUGGGUAUCUGCCCUUUGGCCUGGAAUAACACGAGGAAACUUGUGCUAAUACCGGAUAAGUCUUUACGGAGAAAGCUUUAUGCACCAUUGGAUGAGCCCGCACUUGAUUAGUUUGUUGGUGGGGUAAUGGCCUACCAAGACUAUGAUCAAUAGCUGAUUUGAGAGGAUGAUCAGCCACAUUGGGACUGAGACACGGCCCAAACUCCUACGGGAGGCAGCAGUGGGGAAUCUUGCACAAUGGAGGAAACUCUGAUGCAGCGAUGCCGCGUGAGUGAAGAAGGCCCUUGGGUUGUAAAGCUCUUUCGUCGGGGAAGAAAAUGACUGUACCCGAAUAAGAAGGUCCGGCUAACUUCGUGCCAGCAGCCGCGGUAAUACGAAGGGACCUAGCGUAGUUCGGAAUUACUGGGCUUAAAGAGUUCGUAGGUGGUUGAAAAAGUUAGUGGUGAAAUCCCAGAGCUUAACUCUGGAACUGCCAUUAAAACUUUUCAGCUAGAGUAUGAUAGAGGAAAGCAGAAUUUCUAGUGUAGAGGUGAAAUUCGUAGAUAUUAGAAAGAAUACCAAUUGCGAAGGCAGCUUUCUGGAUCAUUACUGACACUGAGGAACGAAAGCAUGGGUAGCGAAGAGGAUUAGAUACCCUCGUAGUCCAUGCCGUAAACGAUGUGUGUUAGACGUUGGAAAUUUAUUUUCAGUGUCGCAGCGAAAGCGAUAAACACACCGCCUGGGGAGUACGACCGCAAGGUUAAAACUCAAAUGAAUUGACGGGGACCCGCACAAGUAGUGGAGCAUGUGGUUUAAUUCGAAGAUACGCGCAGAACCUUACCAACACUUGACAUGUUCGUCGCGACUCUAAGAGAUUAGAGUUUUCGGUUCGGCCGGACGAAACACAGAUGCUGCAUGGCUGUCGUCAGCUCGUGUCGUGAGAUGUUGGGUUAAGUCCCGCAACGAGCGCAACCCUCACUUUUAGUUGCCAUCAUUAAGUUGGGCACUCUGAAAGAACUGCCAGUGAUAAGCUGGAGGAAGGUGGGGAUGACGUCAAGUCCUCAUGGCCCUUACGUGUUGGGCUACACACGUGCUACAAUGGUAUCUACAACAGGAAGCAAGACUGCGAGGUCAAGCAAAUCCUUAAAAGAUACCUCAGUUCGGAUUGCACUCUGCAACUCGAGUGCAUGAAGCUGGAAUUACUAGUAAUCGUGGAUCAGCGUGCCACGGUGAAUGCGUUCCCGGGUCU
RNAcentral lists this ribosomal RNA (1306 nucleotides) under uncultured bacterium. RNAcentral describes it as "bacterial SSU rRNA". It matches the Rfam family "Bacterial small subunit ribosomal RNA", at positions 28 to 1381 of the family's 1533-position model. The record is from RNAcentral.